GCCGCAGUCGGAUAAACAGGAAUUCCGGGAAAUUAAGACCUUCCUGCUCGCAAGAGCUUCUGGGUUCAAAUCCCAGCUGCGGCG
This 84-nucleotide transfer RNA is filed under the name Candidatus Woesearchaeota archaeon. Its description in RNAcentral is "tRNA-Leu". Lineage: Archaea; Nanobdellati; Candidatus Woesearchaeota. The record is from RNAcentral.